Molecule: ribosomal RNA, 490 nt
Filed under: uncultured bacterium
Lineage: Bacteria
Description: partial 16S ribosomal RNA
Rfam family: Bacterial small subunit ribosomal RNA
Source: RNAcentral
AUUGAACGCUGGCGGCAGGCCUAACACAUGCAAGUCGAACGGUAACAGGAAGCAGCUUGCUGCUUCGAUGACGAGAGGCGGACGGGUGAGUAAUGUCUGGGCAACUGCCUGAUGGAGGGGGUUAACUACUGGAAACGGUAGCUAAUACCGCAUAACGUCGCAAGACCAAAGAGGGGGACCUUAGGGCCUCUUGCAAUCGGCUGUGCCCAGAUGGGAUUAGCUAGUAGGUGGGGUAACGGCUCACCUAGGCGACGAUCCCUAGCUGGUCUGAGAGGAUGACCAGCCACACUGGAACUGAGACACGGUCCAGACUCCUACGGGAGGCAGCAGUGGGGAAUAUUGCACAAUGGGCGCAAGCCUGAUGCAGCCAUGCCGCGUGUAUGAAGAAGGCCUUCGGGUUGUAAAGUACUUUCAGCGGGGAGGAAGGGAGUAAAGUUAAUACCUUUGCUCAUUGACGUUACCCGCAGAAGAAGCACCGGCUAACUCCGUG